RNAcentral lists this long non-coding RNA (344 nucleotides) under Rattus norvegicus (Norway rat). RNAcentral describes it as "long non-coding RNA NONRATT021471". Lineage: Eukaryota; Metazoa; Chordata; Mammalia; Rodentia; Muridae. The record is from RNAcentral.
UUUUAUGAUUUUGUUGAAGUAUUUACUAGCUUUUUAAGUUGGAAAUCUUUGCUCUCUUCUUUUUUUUCAAAGCUGACGACUGAACCCAAGGCCUUGUGCUUGCUAGGCAAGCGCUCAACCACUGAGCUAAAUCUCCAACUUUUUUGCUCUCUUCUAUACCUAUUAUUUUUAGGUUUGAUCUUCUCAUUGUGUCCUGGAUUUUCUGGAUGUUUUGGGUUAGGAGAGUUUUGCAUUUUGCAUUGUCUUUUGACUGUUGUGUCAAUGUUUUCAAUCUGUCUUCUUUUUAUUGAGAUUCUCUUUUCUAUCUCUUGGAUUCUGUUGAUGAUGCUUGCAUCUAUGACUCC